AUUGAACGCUGGCGGCAUGCCUUACACAUGCAAGUCGAACGGCAGCACGGGUCCUUGCCCCUGGUUGCGAGUGGCGCACGUGUGAGUAAUAUAUCGGAACACGUCCUGGAGGGGGGGAUAGCCCGGCGAAAGCCGGAUUAAUACCGCACACGCUCUACGGGUGAAAGGGGGGGACCUUCGGGCCUCGCUCUAGAGUGUUGCCCGAGGGCUGAUUAGCUAGUUGGUGGGGUAAAGGCCUACCAAGGCGACGAUCAGUAUCUGGUCUGAGAGGACGACCAGCCACACUGGGACUGAGACACGGCCCAGACUCCUACGGGAGGCAGCAGUGGGGAAUUUUGGACAAUGGGCGAAAGCCUGAUCCAGCAAUGCCGCGUGUGUGAAGAAGGCCUUCGGGUUGUAAAGCACUUUUGUCCGGAAAGAAAGCCUUGGCCCUAAUACGGUCGGGGGAUGACGGUACCGGAAGAAUAAGCACCGGCUAACUACGUG
This 486-nucleotide ribosomal RNA is filed under the name uncultured bacterium. RNAcentral describes it as "partial 16S ribosomal RNA". It matches the Rfam family "Bacterial small subunit ribosomal RNA", at positions 30 to 507 of the family's 1533-position model. The record is from RNAcentral.